UCCCUCCCUCCUUCCCUCCCUCCGCCGGGUCGCCCGCUCCUCGUGAGAAACCAAACGCUGAUGUUCCAUUAGCUUCAUCUUCCCCGCUUACGCCAAAGUGAGGAAGACUUGCUAAUUAAUUUACAUACGAGGGAACGAUGUCUGAAGGAAGGAAAAUAAACCUCGUUGCACCUGCUCCGCCGAGACUUGUCAUCUGAAUGUGGAGGAGAGCUAUAAAUCAUGUAAAGUGUUCGCGGUGGAGCCGGCUUCUUCUGAGAGCUGUAGGAUUAUGUAUCCAAAUGCUGCGUUUAUAUUUCCCACUAGGAAAAGACUGAAACUCAGAUGCUUCAGAAGCUUGCUGUGUGCUUACCACAGGUUCUGCCAACCAUCUCAAGAGGGGACUCGCCUAUUCUUUCAUUAAUUGAGCAAAACAUUAUCUUGAAAUAAUUAUUCCUCUCCACAUGGCCUUCCUACUUGUGUCAGCUUAUCUUCUGCUGACUCACGCUCGAGGUGCUCCUGUUGAGAAUGGGGCACUGUUGGAAACACUGAAGUCACAAGUGGGAUUAUUCAGCAAUAAAAGUGAACACUAUUCAGCACAGGUGAGACCUCCUGGCACGAGCCGACAAAUACCUCAGACAAUCAUCAUAGGAGUUCGUAAAGGAGGGACCAGGGCUUUGCUGGAAAUGUUGGAUAUUCACCCUAACAUUGUGGUGGCAGCUACAGAAGUCCACUUCUUUGACUGGGAUGAAAAUUAUGUGAAAGGAAUAGACUGGUAUAGAAAUCUGAUGCCAUUUUCUUAUGGAAAUCAAAUUACAAUUGAGAAAACACCAGGCUAUUUUACAUCACCACAGGCUCCAGGAAGAAUUCAUGACAUGAAUAGCUCCAUUAAACUGCUGCUCAUUCUAAGAGAUCCCACUGAGAGAGUUAUAUCUGACUAUACCCAAGUAUAUUACAACAGAGUAGAAAGUCACAAGCCUGUUCAGCUCUUUGAAGAUAUUGUUAUUAAGAAUGGAGUGCUUAACACCAAAUACAAAGCUAUUCAGAGAAGUCUAUAUGAUGUCCAUAUGGAAAAGUGGCUUAAGCAUUUCAGUUUGGAUCAGAUUCACAUAGUGGAUGGCAAUACUUUGAUCAAGGACCCUCUUCCUGAGUUACAAAAAGUUGAAAGAUUUCUAAAUCUUCCUUCCAGAAUUAUGUCUUCUAAUUUUUAUUUUAACCAAACCAAGGGAUUCUACUGCAUCAGAAGUGAUGGGAGGGAGAGAUGUCUACAUGAGUCCAAAGGGCGUCCUCAUCCUCUUGUUAACAGCACUGUCUUAGAGCAAUUGUAUUCUUACUUCAGAGAGCACAAUGCAAAAUUUUACAGGAUGGUUAAUCAUUCCUUUGACUGGCAUUAACGCAUUUGGAGUCAAUGCUUCCUAAAAAGGGCCUGAGACAAACUUUCAGACAUAUCUUUCUAAACUGUAAAGACUUGUAUUAUGAGAAUUAACAUCCUGGUUACAUGCUUCAUUGGAAUAACAUCUGUUAACUCAUUGAAAUGGCACUCUUUAUGUUGGGAAAAAUAAGCUUUAUGUAUUUGUAUGAUUACUGGGAGUCAUAUCCUGAUCUUCUUUCUCUCACAUGCAAAUACAUUAACUUCAGCAGACUUAGCAAAGAGUUAUCUCUACAAGAGUUCUGCUUUUUUGGAAAAACACAUCUAACUGUAAAAAAAUGUAAAUAUUGGAAAUAGUAUUAUUCUAACUGUUCUGUAUUUUUUGUUGUUAUUAUUUUUUAUAUUCCACAUGAUAGUGGUGUUGAUUUAUAGAACUUUUCAUAAAGUAAGUUUAAACUGUAUGUUAAAAUAGGGGCACACAUAGUAGCUCCAAGAAAUAAAUCGUCAUCUUUAAUAUGCUGAAGUACUUAAUUAAUAAUAGAAGGAAUCUAUUUCACCUGUAAUUUUGAAUAGGUGAUCUAGAAGCUACCUGUCUGUAUAACAUGAGUAUUAAACCACACUCUUACUGUCUUGGGUUUGCAAAAAAAAUUUUUGAAGUAAGAAUAUGAACUAUUUGAAGAAAGUUAAAGUGAGAGUUCUGAAUGUAAAGAAACUAAAAUAUCCCAGGAACACUGAUACUCUAUACACUAAAAAAAAAUCAAUACCAAAAAAUUAUUAAUAAUUAAUGAGCAACUGUACAAAUACUUGAUUGCAUAAAUUAUGUCACUUUGCUCUUGAAUGGAAAAGCUCUUAGUACUACCAUAUGAAUUAUGUUUGUACUCUGUGACUAGUUAUUCUAUUGUUCUCCUGAUUUUGGUUUAUAUAACUCCAUUGGCAAAUGGCUCUUGUUAAAAAAAAAAUAUUCUUUUCUUGCCCCCUGAAGCAUGGUGUAGUUUUAUUUUGCCAUUUCUGGUGCAGAUCACGGGAUAGUCCCAACAUUAAAGUAACCUCUUGUUGUGUGACACACACAGACACAGUGUUCAGCAUGACAUACUCACAUUAUAUGUAAGACCCACACCCAUUUUUAACCCUGCAUCAAGAUUUUAUUUUCAGGGGGUUUUUUAACAGUAUUGUGCUGAUUUUUCUGCUUUUUCACAUAAGCAUUUUAUUGCAUAUCAGUACCAAAGAGGAAAAUCAACUCUGAGCAUCAAACCCAACUGGACCCUGGUGAGGGUCCUGCAUCUGUGUCCUUCCACCUAAGUCACUGCUCAGCCUAAAGGAGUGUGUGUUCCUACCAUGGGAUUCUUCCACUUUCCAUAACAGGCAUCAAGUCUUUCUUGUCUGAAGUUUACAGCUAAUCUUUAAAUGAGCUGAAUGCAGGAGCACCAGCUAGCAGAAACUGUAUGCAUCUUUGAAAAUCCAAGUUCCUUUCUGGAAUUUACAUUUCAAGGAGAGCUGAGCUGUAUGGAUUAGUGAUGCACAUAUCUAUUUGAUUUGUUAUCACUCCUCAUUCCUGUUCAGCAUUUUGGGGAAGAACAGAGUUGAUGGAAUGUAUUUCAUGAUUAUUUUAGAGUUUACUUGUAUCAUGAGAAGUAUAUUAAGUAUGAAUAAGUAUAUGAAUAAAAUCUGGGUGAGGGGUUAGUUUGUUUGGUUUGCUUUUAUAUAAACCAUGAUUCUCAUAAAAAAUUUUGUUUUGGUGAAUGGUCAAAAACUAUGCACCUUAACCUCUGCAAAACAGAGAUUAGACUGUAAUUUUACAUUUCAAACUUUCAAUCAGUUUCUCAUUUUUGGACUGAAAAAUACUCUUCUGUGCCGUCCUGAUCUUUUCCAUUGUUGCAGUCCUUAAGAAAACCCUCCUUCCCUCAUGCUCAGGGAGGGAAUCAGAUCAACCAAAUAGACAUUCUACUGAGCCACAGUUGAGUAACAGUAAAAUAAAAAGUUCUCAGUUUUUGACCCUUGGAAUUCAAAACUAGCCAAUUUUUUGGGAAGACCUGUAGGCUUACAAUCAGUAUGCAGGUGUUAUUAACGAGACAGUUCAUCGUUUAAGAAAUUAUAUAUAUCUCAUGGUUUUACACAACUGAUAGUAAAGCAGAAAUUACUUUUCUCUAAAUUGAUCAUCAAAUAAAUUUCACCUCAUUAUCUGAUACUCAAGUGUUGUUUGCAAAAGUAAAUUUCUUGUGGGAAGACCACUUGAAGAAGUCAUGCUGUUGUUUCAAAGAUUUUUGGGUGCAUCUGGGACAGGUGAUAUAAUUACAUGUGCAAGACUACUGCAGAAUUGAUGCUGGUUUGACCAGUUUUUGAUGUUUAACAUUCCAGAAAGACUAAGCUUUCACUUUAAAUACUCUUCCUUUCCUUUUUUAGGAAAAAUGCCAUUAUAGUUGUUUUGAUCUAGUAUUACAGAGAAUUAACCAUAUCAAGCAGCUGGAUCUGUUUAACCACAGUAAGCAGCACACAUUUAAUGUCCAGAUGAGUCUAAUACAACCUCCUUUUUUUUUUUGUGAUUUUUUUUUUAUUUUAUUUUAUCUAUAGAACAUAAAGGAAAUUACUAGGAAACUUAAAAGCUAGGAUUUUGCCCCCAUACUUAACUAAUGGGAAAGAAAUAACAAAGUUCUUCCAUUGCACUUUAACCCAUUAUUUUACCAGGAAAAGGGUUGGAUUUCUCCAUUGUAUACCCUGUGUCCAGGUGCUCAAAAACUUUGGACCUUGACUUCUGGUCUUUCACAAUUUAGCCUUGAAAGUUUAGCAUUUAGAGUCCCUCCUAAAGGAUACCUGUUAGAGCAGAGACAAUUUUUAAUUGUGGAGGACUUUACAGAGGGCACACACAUCAUUGCAUGCUGCUCCACGUCAGCUCCUUUGCUAUCCUCUUGAUACAAGACUGAUAAUCCUAUAAAGAUUAUCCAUUCAAGAACAAUGAUUGACUACUGUAGGGAAGUUUAUCCACGUAAAGAGUUUUCUAUCUUCAUGCAAAUGAAAAAUCUAAAAAAUAAAUUGUUUCUAUCAAAUUUUA
Non-coding RNA from Cyanistes caeruleus (blue tit), 4391 nucleotides. The record is from RefSeq and is a predicted model, not a curated record. NCBI's taxonomy places the organism in Eukaryota, Metazoa, Chordata, Aves, Passeriformes, Paridae.